Molecule: ribosomal RNA, 720 nt
Filed under: uncultured Gammaproteobacteria bacterium
Lineage: Bacteria; Pseudomonadati; Pseudomonadota; Gammaproteobacteria
Description: bacterial SSU rRNA
Rfam family: Bacterial small subunit ribosomal RNA
Source: RNAcentral
UCAGAUUGAACGCUGGCGGUAGGCUUAACACAUGCAAGUCGUGCGAGAAAGUAUCUUCGGAUAUGAGUAGAGCGGCGGACGGGUGAGUAACGCGUAGGAAUCUACCUAGUAGAAGGGGAUAGCCCGGGGAAACCCGGAUUAAUACCGUAUACCUCCUUCGGGAGAAAGAAGGCCUCUCUUUGAAGCUUUCGCUAUUAGAUGAGCCUGCGUAAGAUUAGCUUGUUGGUGAGGUAAAGGCUCACCAAGGCGACGAUCUUUAGCUGGUCUGAGAGGACGAUCAGCCACAUUGGGACUGAGACACGGCCCAGACUCCUACGGGAGGCAGCAGUGGGGAAUAUUGGACAAUGGGCGCAAGCCUGAUCCAGCCAUACCGCGUGUGUGAAGAAGGCCUUCGGGUUGUAAAGCACUUUAAGCAGGGAGAAAAAGUUAUAAGUUAAUACCUUAUAACCGUGAUGUUACCUGCAGAAUAAGCACCGGCUAAUUCCGUGCCAGCAGCCGCGGUAAUACGGAAGGUGCAAGCGUUAAUCGGAAUUACUGGGCGUAAAGCGCGCGUAGGUGGUUUGUUAAGUUGGAUGUGAAAGCCCUGGGCUCAACCUAGGAACUGCAUCCAAAACUAACUCACUAGAGUACGAUAGAGGGAGGUAGAAUUCAUAGUGUAGCGGUGGAAUGCGUAGAUAUUAUGAAGAAUACCAGUGGCGAAGGCGGCCUCCUGGAUCUGUA